GAUGAAGAACGCAGCGAAAUGCGAUACUUGGUGUGAAUUGCAGAAUCCCGUGAACCAUCGAGUCUUUGAACGCAAGUUGCGCCCGAAGCCAUUAGGCCGAGGGCACGCCUGCCUGGGCGUCACACGUCGUUGCCCCCCCCCAUCUACUCCUUCGGGAUUGCGGGGGGCGGAUGAUGGCCUCCCGUGCGCCUCGCCGCGCGGUUGGCAUAAAUGCCAAGUCCUCGGCGACGCACGCCACGACAAUCGGUGGUUGCGAAACCUCGGUUGCCCGUCGUGUGCGGUCGUCGCGCAUCGAGGGCUCGAAAAAAUUGCCGGGCUCCGGCUCGGCUUUCAACGCGACCCCAGGUCAGGCGGGGUUACCCGCUGAAUUUAAGCAUAUCAAUAACGGAGGA
RNAcentral lists this unclassified non-coding RNA (392 nucleotides) under soil metagenome. RNAcentral's name for it is "partial contains 5.8S ribosomal RNA, internal transcribed spacer 2, and large subunit ribosomal RNA". The stretch from base 1 to 122 matches the Rfam family "5.8S ribosomal RNA", at positions 35 to 154 of the family's 154-position model. The record is from RNAcentral.